RNAcentral lists this ribosomal RNA (363 nucleotides) under uncultured eukaryote. RNAcentral describes it as "partial 18S ribosomal RNA". It matches the Rfam family "Eukaryotic small subunit ribosomal RNA", at positions 592 to 976 of the family's 1831-position model. The record is from RNAcentral.
CAAUAGCAUAUAUUAACGUUGUUGCAGUUGAAAAGCUCGUAGUUGAACUUUUGGUAGGAGCGACCUGGCCUUGGGCGCAUGCCCUUGUUUGCCGUGUGUCGUAUCUGGCCAUCCUUUUCUUCGUUUUUCGGAGGAAUCUUUUACUGUGAGUAAACUGGAGUGCUCAAAACAAGACGUUUGUUUGGUACAUUAAAGCAUGGAAUAAUAAGAUAGGACCUGGUUACUAUUUUGUUGGUUUGCAUAGCUAGGUAAUGAUUAACAGGGACAGUUGGGGGUAUUCGUAUUUAAUUGUCAGAGGUGAAAUUCUUGGAUUUAUGAAAGACGAACGACUGCGAAAGCAUUUACCAAGGAUGUUUUCAUUAA